Molecule: non-coding RNA, 80 nt
Filed under: human gut metagenome
Description: GP20-a RNA
Rfam family: GP20-a RNA
About the family: gut metagenomes. Environment (Cow rumen (57))
Source: RNAcentral
CCCGGCCGGGCCUUAAAUGCCGGGGACGCUCCGGCGCGGAGUGGCCGCGCGUUUACAAAUCAAAUCGAGAGCGGGAAAGG